UGCGUAGGCGGUCUUUUAAGUCAGGAGUGAAAGGCUACGGCUCAACCGUAGUAAGCUCUUGAAACUGGAGGACUUGAGUGCAGGAGAGGAGAGUGGAAUUCCUAGUGUAGCGGUGAAAUGCGUAGAUAUUAGGAGGAACACCAGUAGCGAAGGCGGCUCUCUGGACUGUAACUGACGCUGAGGCACGAAAGCGUGGGAAGCAAACA
Molecule: ribosomal RNA, 206 nt
Filed under: uncultured bacterium
Lineage: Bacteria
Description: partial 16S ribosomal RNA
Rfam family: Bacterial small subunit ribosomal RNA
Source: RNAcentral